RNAcentral lists this ribosomal RNA (203 nucleotides) under uncultured bacterium. RNAcentral describes it as "partial 16S ribosomal RNA". It matches the Rfam family "Bacterial small subunit ribosomal RNA", at positions 1298 to 1500 of the family's 1533-position model. The record is from RNAcentral.
UCGCAGGCUGCAACCCGCCUGCGUGAAGUUGGAAUCGCUAGUAAUCGCGGAUCAGCAUGCCGCGGUGAAUACGUUCCCGGGCCUUGUACACACCGCCCGUCACACCAUGAGAGUCGGGAACACCCGAAGUCCGUAGCCUAACCGCAAGGGGGGCGCGGCCGAAGGUGGGUUCGAUAAUUGGGGUGAAGUCGUAACAAGGUAUC